GGACAGGUGGGUGAGUUGGCUGAAACCACAUCCCUGCUAAGGAUGCGUAGCCGUAAGGUUACCGAGGGUUCGAAUCCCUCCCUGUCCG
This is a non-coding RNA of Helicobacter ailurogastricus, 88 nucleotides long. Lineage: Bacteria; Pseudomonadati; Campylobacterota; Epsilonproteobacteria; Campylobacterales; Helicobacteraceae. The record is from Rfam.